UCCUUAGGUGAGUAGCAGCUUUCUCCA
Molecule: non-coding RNA, 27 nt
Filed under: Mus musculus (house mouse)
Lineage: Eukaryota; Metazoa; Chordata; Mammalia; Rodentia; Muridae
Source: RNAcentral